Molecule: ribosomal RNA, 746 nt
Filed under: uncultured Parvimonas sp.
Lineage: Bacteria; Bacillati; Bacillota; Tissierellia; Tissierellales; Peptoniphilaceae
Description: bacterial SSU rRNA
Rfam family: Bacterial small subunit ribosomal RNA
Source: RNAcentral
GACGAACGCUGGCGGCGUGCUUAACACAUGCAAGUCGAACGUGAUUUUUGUGGAAAUUCUUUCGGGAAUGGAAAUGAAGUGAAAGUGGCGAACGGGUGAGUAACACGUGAGCAACCUACCUUACACAGGGGGAUAGCCGUUGGAAACGACGAUUAAUACCGCAUGAGACCACAGAAUCGCAUGAUAUAGGGGUCAAAGAUUUAUCGGUGUAAGAAGGGCUCGCGUCUGAUUAGCUAGUUGGAAGGGUAAAGGCCUACCAAGGCGACGAUCAGUAGCCGGUCUGAGAGGAUGAACGGCCACAUUGGAACUGAGACACGGUCCAAACUCCUACGGGAGGCAGCAGUGGGGAAUAUUGCACAAUGGGGGGAACCCUGAUGCAGCGACGCCGCGUGAGCGAAGAAGGUUUUCGAAUCGUAAAGCUCUGUCCUAUGAGAAGAUAAUGACGGUAUCAUAGGAGGAAGCCCCGGCUAAAUACGUGCCAGCAGCCGCGGUAAUACGUAUGGGGCGAGCGUUGUCCGGAAUUAUUGGGCGUAAAGGGUACGUAGGCGGUUUUUUAAGUCAGGUGUGAAAGCGUGAGGCUUAACCUCAUUAAGCACUUGAAACUGGAAGACUUGAGUGAAGGAGAGGAAAGUGGAAUUCCUAGUGUAGCGGUGAAAUGCGUAGAUAUUAGGAGGAAUACCGGUGGCGAAGGCGACUUUCUGGACUUUUACUGACGCUCAGGUACGAAAGCGUGGGGAGCAAACAGG